UAACUGGUCCUUUUGAGGACCAUAUGCAUUGUUAGAAAGACACAAU
This is a non-coding RNA of Tauraco erythrolophus (red-crested turaco), 46 nucleotides long. NCBI's taxonomy places the organism in Eukaryota, Metazoa, Chordata, Aves, Musophagiformes, Musophagidae. The record is from Rfam.